GCACCCAUCGUCCCAAAAUCCCCAAAUCUUCAUCGCCUCCUCGUGAGGUUCGUCGGCGCCGACACCGCCAUCUUGCGGAGCCUGUGGCCAGCGUCGCCGCUUUCUUGUCGAGCCAGGAAAUCGCGGCGCCAUCUUCGCCGCCCUCGCCGGACCAGCGUCGCCACGGAGCUAGCCGGCGGCAUCUGCCAUCGGGCAAGCGCCGCAGCCGACCGCCGCCCUCGUCUCUUCGGCGAUCCAGCAGCUGCCGCCGCCUUUCGUCUGCUAGCUGCUAACGGUUGUCCAACUAGCUCGAUCCCUGUCCGUGCUGCUCCGUGUCCUCUUUCAUUCGUCAGUUUCAGGUAUAUAUCCAUAUCACUCCUUGCAUUGUUACUUUCAUUAAUCAUUUAG
This 387-nucleotide long non-coding RNA is filed under the name Oryza sativa Indica Group (long-grained rice). Its description in RNAcentral is "lncRNA OsLiXu_07g0007590". The record is from RNAcentral. Lineage: Eukaryota; Viridiplantae; Streptophyta; Magnoliopsida; Poales; Poaceae.